UACGUAGGCAGCGAGCGUUGUUCGGAGUUACUGGGCGUAAAGCGUGCGUAGGCGGUGGCCCAAGUCUGGUGUGAAAUCUCCCGGCUUAACUGGGAGGGUGCGCCGGAAACUGGGUUGCUGGAGUACCGGAGAGGCAAGCGGAAUUCCUGGUGUAGCGGUGAAAUGCGUAGAUAUCAGGAGGAACACCCGUGGUGUAGACGGCUUGCUGGACGGUCACUGACGCUGAGGCACGAAAGCGUGGGGAGCAAACAGG
Molecule: ribosomal RNA, 253 nt
Filed under: uncultured bacterium
Lineage: Bacteria
Description: partial 16S ribosomal RNA
Rfam family: Bacterial small subunit ribosomal RNA
Source: RNAcentral